UGGGGAAUAUUGCACAAUGGGCGCAAGCCUGAUGCAGCCAUGCCGCGUGUGUGAAGAAGGCCUUCGGGUUGUAAAGCACUUUCAGCGAGGAGGAAGGUGGUGAACUUAAUACGUUCAUCAAUUGACGUUACUCGCAGAAGAAGCACCGGCUAACUCCGUGCCAGCAGCCGCGGUAAUACGGAGGGUGCAAGCGUUAAUCGGAAUUACUGGGCGUAAAGCGCACGCAGGCGGUUUGUUAAGUCAGAUGUGAAAUCCCCGGGCUCAACCUGGGAACUGCAUUUGAAACUGGCAAGCUAGAGUCUCGUAGAGGGGGGUAGAAUUCCAGGUGUAGCGGUGAAAUGCGUAGAGAUCUGGAGGAAUACCGGUGGCGAAGGCGGCCCCCUGGACGAAGACUGACGCUCAGGUGCGAAAAGCGUGGGGAGCAAAACAGGAUUAGAUCAGCCCUGGU
This 448-nucleotide ribosomal RNA is filed under the name uncultured bacterium. RNAcentral describes it as "partial 16S ribosomal RNA". It matches the Rfam family "Bacterial small subunit ribosomal RNA", at positions 355 to 791 of the family's 1533-position model. The record is from RNAcentral.